Camelus dromedarius (Arabian camel) is the source of this 4667-nucleotide long non-coding RNA. RefSeq lists it as uncharacterized. The record is from RefSeq and is a predicted model, not a curated record. Lineage: Eukaryota; Metazoa; Chordata; Mammalia; Artiodactyla; Camelidae. The transcript has 6 exons.
UGUGGUCUGGAAACUUCCUCUCCUUUCAGGUCUUAGAAAAAGUUCUUUUUCCUCUCUCUGGGGCAGGUGCACCACGGGGCGCCCUGCCUGGCCACUGCCCCCGACCUCCCCCCCCCCCCCCCCGCUUCAUCCCUUUCUUCUCUGAGGGGCGUGGGGACUUUGCCAGGCAGAGCCACUGAGAGACUGACGGUCCGAGGGAAACACGGAGGCGAGACAUAGGAAGAAAGGAAGGUGGAAAAAAGAAGAUGAAGAACCCUCCCUGCCAGCACAUUCUCAGUCUUCUGAGUAAAGUUCCUGGAGCCCCCGGAGGCAAAGGCAUUCGAUCAAUUAAGCAACUAAGCACGAAGCAUGCUCAAAAACGCCACCAGGAACCGCAGAGAGAAAGUUCCUAAAAUAAACGCCCGAGGCCCACAGCAUCCAGGUCCCCAGCCCCCAGCGACCGGCUGGAGUCACUCCUGCACUUGGAAGAGGUGAUUAGGACCCAGACGUGCCCAGAGGGCUGACCACGUGAAGACACACGGGUAAGACAGUUGUCUGUAAGCCGAGGAGUGAGGCUCCAAGAGAAAUCAACCCUGCGGACAACUUGAUCUUGGACUUUCAGGCUCCAGAACCGUGAGAAAAUGAAUUUGUCGCUUAGCUGCCCAGCCUGUGGGGCUUUGCCGCCCGGCCUAAGGGGCUUUGCCAAGGCCACCCCCGCAAAUAAUGCACCGUGCCAGCUGAAGCUGGCCAGCCCACACGGUGCGGGCCCUCUGCUCUCCCCACAAGCCCUGCCUUCUCUCUUUGCACUGCUGUCCCUCGGGUCUAAGGGCCGUAUUUCCCCCGGCUCACCUACUUGGCAGCAGACAAAUGCCGUCCUCUGCAAAGCCUGCUGGCCUCCUGUCCUCCGCAGCCUGUAUCCCAGAGUUCCUACGCACGGUCAUUUAUUUUCAGAUAACUCACUCAGAAAUUCUGAGCUGGCCCUUCCGUGGCCCCAAGUCCUCCAUGCACUUACAGCAAUUCCCCAGCAAACGAAUGUCACUUCUGCACGAUCGAGACAGACCAAAUUAGCGCUUAGCAGAGAAAGGGGCUGCUGCUGCUUUUUCUUUUUUUUUUUUUUUUUCUUUUUGCAAAUCAUAUAACUCUAAACUACCUCCAAUUUCCUAAAUGGAAUCUGGCUCGAGAUUCACUCUGGGAUGGAGCAGUCUGUAAUGAGAUUACAUUAUGUUUGGGGGAAAACAUUCAAAUGACCAAGAGAAUUAAUUUUGCAUCCCAACCGAUAGCAAGAUCCAAAGCCGUAAGUCAGAGCCUGCAACCUGCCGGUGCCCCUGGGGAUGAUAACGUUUCUUUCAGAAUACAGCGACACGGACAGUUCCGGGGGCCCAUGAAAUGCGGAGGUUUUAAAGCUGGAGCCGUUGGGUUCUUUCCGUUCCGGCGACAAUGCUCAUCUUUUCUCAGUAGCUGUCAUUUACUGUGGCUCUCUCCCAGGCUUGGGAAGAUGAAAGAAAUCCCCAGACCCAAAGGAGCUUCCUGGAUGGGUUUCGCUGGGAGGAAUCUUUUGAGAAUCAAUUUAAAGCAUUUAAAAUGUUUGGUGCUGUUGUGAAGGCUCAGCUUAUGGUAGCAUGGAGUGUGUGCAUGUGUGUGUAUGUGUGUGUGUGCAUGCACACAUGCAAUCUCAUCUUUUAAAAGGAAAGAAUAAGAUUAAACUCUCUUUGGUUCUUUGAAUCCUCUUCGCCAGGUGGCUUUAUUUGUAUGAUAUUAGACUUGUCUGAACAUCUGGGAAGGAUCCGAGUUGGCAGCAAUUUUCUGAUUCUGAUUCAUUGUUAAAAUCAGCUCAGAAAUAGCCAGGAGCUGGCAGGCUGCCCACCUCCAUCCUUGUAUGUGUUGGCUGCAUCUAAUUCGAACAAGGUCUAAGGACGUGUGUGAGCCACACUGUUCACAAGAGCCAAGACAUGGGAACAACCGAAAUGUCCAUCAGUGGAUGAGCAGAUAUGCAAAUUGUGGUAUAUCCAUACAGUGGAAUAUUACUCAGCCAAAAAAGGAAGGAGAUGUUGAAAAUAUGACGCUGAGAGAAGCCAGACACAAACAGUCACAUGUCUUACGGUUCCUUUUAUAUGAAAUGUUCGGGGUAAGUAAAUCCACAGAGACAGAAAGCAGAUUGGUGGUUGCCUGGGGCUGGGGAGAGAGAGAAGUGGGGAGUGACAGCCUAAUGGGUCCGAGGUUUCUUCUGGGGUGAUGCAAAUGUCUUGGAACUAGACAGAGGUGAUGGUUGCACAAUAUUGUGAAUGUGUUAAAUGCCAAUGAAUCAUUCAUUUUUAAAUGAUUAAGUUAUGUGAAUUUCACCUUGAUUUUAAAAAACGUUCCUUCCGUCUCUAUAUCCCACCAGAUCUUGGGGGCUUCCUCUGGGAAAAUUAGGGUGUUGGACCAGAAACAGAGAUUUCAAACUUGCAGGUGGUAGACCACAUUUGGCGAGUUGGUGAUUAACUGGGCAGACACAAUGGUUUACAAAAUUCCAAACCUGACUUUUCUUCAUGGUAGUUGCUUUCCAAGGGUGAGCCUCCCUCCUCCCUGCAGUGAGCCAUGCCUUCUGGGCUUCGUGUUCUGCGAAGCCCCCCCUCGCGCCAAAUCCGGGCUGGCCCCGUGAUUGGCUCUGACUAGCAGAUGCCACAGACGGGACAUGAUGUAGCCUCCACGUCUGGACCUUGAGAAACCUGCAGUUUCCACGGGUGGGAUAUGCCCUCUCAGAACCCAGACGCCACGUCGUGAGAAAGCCCGAGCUGCGUGAGGAGGCACACCGAGUGCGGGGAGCAGCGGCCGCCAGCCACGUGCGCGAGCGGUCCUGGCACUGCAGCCCCAGCGGGCCCUGGGGGACGGCUCUAGCUGGCCUCCUGUGGAGCUUUUGGAAAGGCAUAGCUAUAGAUAUAGUGUUUAUAUUACAUGUCUCUGUAUCUAUGUCUGAAUCUGUAUCUGUCUACAUAAACAUGUAGAUAUAAUCAUCUGUCUGUCUGCCCAUCUAAUGAUUCAUUAAUUGGCUUACACAAGUCCAGAAUCUGCAGGGCAGGCCGUCAGGCUUGAGUCCCAGGAAGAGUAGAUGACGCCCUCAAGCCCUGAGGCAGUCGGCUGGCAGAAUUUCUUCUUUCUUCCAGGAUGUCCAUCUUUUCUCUUAUGGCCUUCAGCUGAUUGAAUGAGGCCCACCGACAUUAUGGAGGAUAAUCUGCUUUCUUUAAAGUCUACUGAUUUAAAUAUUAAUCUCAUCUAGAAAAAUACCCUGUCAACAUCUGGACUGGUGUUUGACCACAUGUGUGGGUAACGUGGCCCAGUGAGGUUGACAAGUACAGUUAACCCUCACAGGGGCAGUGAACUGACCGUGAGUGACCCCUCACUGACAGGCAGUCUCCCAAAUUACAGUCCUGUCCAUGCUCCGCCCAGAUGCCCUUGGAUCUGUUUCCUGUUUCCAGGCAGCUCUGCCUGCUGCGGCCCCUGCCCUCAGAGCUGCCCUGCCUGACCUGGGGUUUCUGUUCCCUGGAGUGGCCCUUGGCCAGGACCCAAGGGGAUAAGAGCCAGAAGCCCAGCCCCCUCUCAGGCUGAGGCAUCUUGGAGGCCUGACUCACUCUCUGCGAUCCUCGUGGGGUCAGGCAUAGGCCACCCUCCAUGGUCUGGAGCUUCCCCCAAGCCCCGGCCUUGCUGGAUUCCUUCGCCUUCUCCCUGCCGGCUCCCCACUCACCCUACUCCCUCCCUCCCCAGUUUCUCCUGCAAGCACUCAAAUCCUCAUCUCCGGAUGGGCUUCUGGUAAGCCCAACCUGAGACAGACUCAGCUGCGCGAGGGGGGCCGGGCGUGUUGCAGUCACCUGCAAUCACUGGAAGAAACGCCGAGCACCUGCUGGGUGCAGAGCAUCAUUUCUCGGCCUUGGAGAUGGGGCGCCGGCGCCGGCAGGCAGCACCCUCUGCUUGUGGGCUGGCACCCUCACGUUCGGCCCAGCAGGGAGGCGCUCCGAGGCCGGGUGGACCGUGCGUGUCUGUACCGCUCAUCUGGUCCGUGCCUGGUCAUUGUCAGUCCAGCCGCGCCCCACGAGGCCUUGGCAGGCACCCGAGAAGGCGGCCCCGGGCUUCUGUUUGGUUUGUGCUGUUUCCCCGCGGCCUCUGGUUUCUUGCUCUUACAAGCAGAAAUCAAGUGCACGUUCCAUGCAGCUGCCAGCGCCAGGCGGGUCUCAUCCCUUAUGCCGCCUCACCAAGCCACAGGUGCUGUGCCCCCCCCCCGCGGAGCGCCCCACCCUCGGCCUCCGCGCUCGCCCACGGCUCUCCUCUCCUCCUCACCCCUGCUUCCCGCAGCCCCCACCCCAAUCAUGCCAAUCAAACAGCGAAUAAACUCCCGGACGUGAGCCAGGCGUUCCUCCCCCAUCAGAGGCCCCGCGCGCCCCAGACCACCUCGGGCUGUGAUCACCGCAGACGCACGUGAAGGUGCGCUGGUGUUCGGUGGCGGAUAUGGAAAUUCAAUAAAAGGACCAGUGUCUUUAGAAGGAGAGAAGAUUAGGACAGGGCGCGCACGCAGGAAAGACCCUGUGAGGACCCCAGGAGAAGACGGCCGCCUGCAAUCCAAGGAGGGAGGCCUUGGAGGAAACCAACCCUGCGGACACCUUGAUGUUGGAUUCUCAGCCUCUGGAAUUGUGGGAAAGUAAACUUCUGUUGUCUAA